RNAcentral lists this ribosomal RNA (972 nucleotides) under uncultured Bacteroidota bacterium. RNAcentral describes it as "bacterial SSU rRNA". It matches the Rfam family "Bacterial small subunit ribosomal RNA", at positions 9 to 987 of the family's 1533-position model. Lineage: Bacteria; Pseudomonadati; Bacteroidota. The record is from RNAcentral.
GAGUUUGAUCCUGGCUCAGGAUGAACGCUAGCGGCAGGCCUAACACAUGCAAGUCGAGGGGUAGAACACUUCGGUGUUUGAGACCGGCGCACGGGUGCGUAACGCGUAUGCAAUCUACCUUAUACAGGGGAAUAGCCCAGAGAAAUUUGGAUUAAUGCCCCAUAGUAUUACGAAACGGCAUCGUUUUGUAAUUAAAGUUCCAACGGUAUAAGAUGAGCAUGCGUCCCAUUAGUUAGUUGGUAAGGUAACGGCUUACCAAGACAAUGAUGGGUAGGGGUCCUGAGAGGGAGAUCCCCCACACUGGUACUGAGACACGGACCAGACUCCUACGGGAGGCAGCAGUGAGGAAUAUUGGUCAAUGGGCGCAAGCCUGAACCAGCCAUGCCGCGUGCAGGAAGACGCAUCUAUGGUGUGUAAACUGCUUUUAUACAGGAAGAAACCCUCCCACGUGUGGGAGCUUGACGGUACUGUAGGAAUAAGGAUCGGCUAACUCCGUGCCAGCAGCCGCGGUAAUACGGAGGAUCCAAGCGUUAUCCGGAAUCAUUGGGUUUAAAGGGUCCGUAGGCGGUCUUAUAAGUCAGUGGUGAAAGCCCAUCGCUCAACGAUGGAACUGCCAUUGAUACUGUAGGACUUGAAUUUUUGUGAAGUAACUAGAAUAUGUAGUGUAGCGGUGAAAUGCUUAGAUAUUACAUGGAAUACCAAUUGCGAAGGCAGGUUACUAACAAACGAUUGACGCUGAUGGACGAAAGCGUGGGGAGCGCACAGGAUUAGAUACCCUGGUAGUCCACGCCGUAAACGAUGGAUACUAGCUGUUGGGAGUAAUCUCAGUGGCUAAGCGAAAGUGAUAAGUAUCCCACCUGGGGAGUACGAACGCAAGUUUGAAACUCAAAGGAAUUGACGGGGGCCCGCACAAGCGGUGGAGCAUGUGGUUUAAUUCGAUGAUACGCGAGGAACCUUACCAAGGCUUAAAUG